Molecule: ribosomal RNA, 542 nt
Filed under: uncultured bacterium
Lineage: Bacteria
Description: partial 16S ribosomal RNA
Rfam family: Bacterial small subunit ribosomal RNA
Source: RNAcentral
UGGGGAAUUUUGGACAAUGGGCGAAAGCCUGAUCCAGCAAUGCCGCGUGUGUGAAGAAGGCCUUCGGGUUGUAAAGCACUUUUGUCCGGAAAGAAAUCCUCUGGGUUAAUACCUCGGGGGGAUGACGGUACCGGAAGAAUAAGCACCGGCUAACUACGUGCCAGCAGCCGCGGUAAUACGUAGGGUGCAAGCGUUAAUCGGAAUUACUGGGCGUAAAGCGUGCGCAGGCGGUUUUGUAAGACGGAUGUGAAAUCCCCGGGCUUAACCUGGGAACUGCAUUCGUGACUGCAAGGCUAGAGUAUGGCAGAGGGGGGUAGAAUUCCACGUGUAGCAGUGAAAUGCGUAGAGAUGUGGAGGAAUACCGAUGGCGAAGGCAGCCCCCUGGGCCAAAUACUGACGCUCAUGCACGAAAGCGUGGGGAGCAAACAGGAUUAGAUACCCUGGUAGUCCACGCCCUAAAACGAUGUCAACUAGUUGUUGGGGAUUCAUUUCCUUAGUAACGUAGCUAACGCGUGAAGUUGACCGCCUGGGGAGUACGGUCG